Molecule: ribosomal RNA, 144 nt
Filed under: uncultured eukaryote
Lineage: Eukaryota
Description: partial small subunit ribosomal RNA
Rfam family: Eukaryotic small subunit ribosomal RNA
Source: RNAcentral
UAGUUCGUGGAUUGAUUUGUCUGGUUGAUUCCGAUAACGAGCGAGAUCUUGGCCUGCUAACUAGGCCACCAAAGCUCUUUUGGGUGUGCCUUCUUAGAGGGACGUUGUGUAUUGAACGCAAGGAAGUUCGAGGCAAUAACAGGU